UAUCUCUUAUUUGUAAAAUUUCAUAGUGGAAAUGUUUGCGUGAGCAUGAGUAUGCGUCGUUAAAUUGUUUCAAGUUUGAAGGAUAAGAUGUUUCCAGAAGAUUAUGGUGCUUCCAAAUAAGAGGUUCUGUCAUAGAUGAAAGAAUUAAUUUGACGAAGUUGUAACAUCAUCUUCAACAACCGAACGA
Molecule: long non-coding RNA, 187 nt
Organism: Megachile rotundata (alfalfa leafcutting bee)
Lineage: Eukaryota; Metazoa; Arthropoda; Insecta; Hymenoptera; Megachilidae
Source: RefSeq, a predicted model, not a curated record